This 100-nucleotide microRNA precursor is filed under the name Brassica oleracea (wild cabbage). Its description in RNAcentral is "miR9409 stem-loop (bol-MIR9409)". Lineage: Eukaryota; Viridiplantae; Streptophyta; Magnoliopsida; Brassicales; Brassicaceae. The record is from miRBase by way of RNAcentral.
AAAAUAGAUUGAAAAAUACAGUCAUGAACAAAAUAAAAAUUACUCUAUAUAUGCAGUAAUGUUUUCUUUUUUGUUCAUGACUGCAUUUUCUACUCUAUUU